UUGACAUCCAGCGAACUUGGCAGAGAUGCCUUGGUGCCUUCGGGAACGCUGAGACAGGUGCUGCAUGGCUGUCGUCAGCUCGUGUUGUGAAAUGUUGGGUUAAGUCCGCAACGAGCGCAACCCUUAUCCUUUGUUGCCAGCGAUUCGGUCGGGAACUCAAAGGAGACUGCCGGUGAUAAACCGGAGGAAGGUGGGGAUGACGUCAAGUCAUCAUGGCCCUUACGAGUAGGGCUACACACGUGCUACAAUGGCGCAUACAAAGAGAAGCGACCUCGCGAGAGCAAGCGGACCUCAUAAAGUGCGUCGUAGUCCGGAUCGGAGUCUGCAACCCGACUCCGUGAAGUCGGAAUCGCUAGUAAUCGUGGAUCAGAAUGCCACGGUGAAUACGUUCCCGGGCCUUGUACACACCGCCCGUCACACCAUGGGAGUGGGUUGCAAAAGAAGUAGGUAGCUUAACCUCCGGGAGGGCGCUUACCACUUUGUGAUUCAUGACUGGGGUGAAGUCGUAACAAGGUAGGCGUAGCGAG
RNAcentral lists this ribosomal RNA (527 nucleotides) under uncultured bacterium. RNAcentral describes it as "bacterial SSU rRNA". It matches the Rfam family "Bacterial small subunit ribosomal RNA", at positions 981 to 1509 of the family's 1533-position model. The record is from RNAcentral.